This 502-nucleotide ribosomal RNA is filed under the name uncultured bacterium. RNAcentral's name for it is "partial 16S ribosomal RNA". It matches the Rfam family "Bacterial small subunit ribosomal RNA", at positions 899 to 1397 of the family's 1533-position model. The record is from RNAcentral.
ACUCAAAUGAAUUGACGGGGGCCCGCACAAGCGGUGGAGUAUGUGGUUUAAUUCGAAGCAACGCGCAGAACCUUACCAGCUCUUGACAUGUUAGGUAUGGGGAUCAGAGAUGAUCUUCUUCAGUUCGGCUGGCCUAAACACAGGUGCUGCAUGGCUGUCGUCAGCUCGUGUCGUGAGAUGUUGGGUUAAGUCCCGCAACGAGCGCAACCCUCGCCAUUAGUUGCCAUCAGGUAAAGCUGGGCACUUUAAUGGAACUGCCGGUGAUAAACCGGAGGAAGGUGGGGAUGACGUCAAGUCCUCAUGGCCCUUAUGGGCUGGGCUACACACGUACUACAAUGGUGGUGACAACGGGGAGCGAAGGAGAAAUCUGGAGCGAAUCCUCAAAAGCCACCUCAGUUCGGAUUGUCCUCUGCAACUCGAGGGCAUGAAGUCGGAAUCGCUAGUAAUCGCGGAUCAGCAUGCCGCGGUGAAUACGUUCACGGGCCUUGCACACACCGCCCGU